GAGGAAGGAAAGGUGCAAGCCCGGAUCCCAGGCAGAGCUGGAGGAAGAAUAGCUCCUUGCUUAAGAAUGUAGUCUCUCUGAGGCCCACAGAUAUUAAGCAUGAUGGAAGCUUGCAUUCUCAACUGUGUGACUGUAAAGAAGUGAUAUGCUAUAGAGUACCAUUUGUAAAAGUAUUGCUCAUACCCUUUUCAAAG
Non-coding RNA from Phascolarctos cinereus (koala), 194 nucleotides. Lineage: Eukaryota; Metazoa; Chordata; Mammalia; Diprotodontia; Phascolarctidae. The record is from RefSeq and is a predicted model, not a curated record.